Long non-coding RNA from Erpetoichthys calabaricus (reedfish), 2276 nucleotides. RefSeq lists it as uncharacterized. The transcript is spliced from 3 exons. The record is from RefSeq and is a predicted model, not a curated record. NCBI's taxonomy places the organism in Eukaryota, Metazoa, Chordata, Cladistia, Polypteriformes, Polypteridae.
UUGAGUGCUUUGAUGAGCAGAUGGUGAGAAACGCAGCGCAGAAAGUCGGCUUUGGAGAAGCAAAGUGCCAUCUGAAGGCACCUCAGUGCCACCACCCCGGGAGGACAGCCGAGUGGUCAGAGCAGCAGGGCUUUACAGGCGACUCUCGGGGGCUACGAGACCAACACUCGGCACACGUCAAGAUUACAAAGAGACAGCGGUUUGUAUUACCGGCCGCAGUAAAAGCACAAAAGUAAACGUUUAUGAACAGAAUGUCAGACUUGAAAGAAAAGAGUUCUGUUUCCAUAGCAACAGGCGAGACGUUUUCUACACAAGUCCCCAAACGACGAGUACAUAACAAGGACAAAGACAACAACUCCCAAGUAACUGCCACCCUGACCCCAGGCCCGUCACUACAGGUCACCCGUUUCCACAGAUUUCCGCACUUUGCUUUGCUGUCCCUAAAGUUCAAGAGGACGGUGAAAUGGCAGAAGCCCCACGGAGGGCGCAGGUGGCCAAAGCCAACAGUAUAAACGUCCCAUCCUCGUGGCCUGGGGGCUCAUCAUCAGAGAGGCGUCCCCCCCCCUUGUGACCCCUGCAGGUGGCUUCACUGCUGCAUGUCCCCCCGUCAUCUUCAGCCCCCCCAUCCCGUCCAGUUCCCCAUUUCCUGAGGGACACCUUAAGGAGACGCAGACUGACAAAGGGUCCCUCUAGGAGUGCCACCCGCCGCAGCUCAUUGUUUCUCCGUAUUUUUACCUUUUUGUUCUUUCGUUUCUCUUUGUUAACUUUUUUUUUUUGAUUUAUUAAUUUCUGUAUUGUUUUAUUAUUUUAUUUAUUUUUAUCCAACCCGCCAUAUCCUAACUACAGGGUCACAGGGGUCUGCUGGAGCCAAUCCAGCCAACACAGGGCACAAGGCAGGAGACAAACCCCGGGCAGGGCGCCAGCCCACUGCAGAUGUAUGGUUUGUUUCAUUUUUAUUUAUUAUUGAUUUUUUUAUUCAAUUUUUUACUUAUUUUUUAUUUAUUAUCUUUUUUCCUUUCUCAAACACCAGUAAGGAUUUUUAGACCCCCAGCCCUUCUGUUUAACAUUUUCAAAGUCACUUCACAACCUUCAUGUCACCGUCUGUGUUACGGCCUUUCUGUGACUUUGUCCCUGUGAUGCCAGUCGGUUGUUGUGGGCGUGGCCACACGGGUCACGACCUUGGCGUCACUUCUGUUGGACGGUCAUCUUGAAGGCCACGAUUGUGGAUGCGGUGACCCCCCCCCUUAAUUUAGCGUUUCCAGAACUUCAUGACGUUUGUCGGUGACUUGUCCUCGUUUUCGGUCCCGCAGUGUCUUUUGUUUUUUUUUGUGUCCUGGUCCUCUGACUACAAAGCCCGUCUCUCUUUUGUCUUCCAAGACAGCACCGUGUGCCCUUCGUGCGGAGUCUGUGAGCCGUCGGUGGGUCGGCGGACUGCUGCUGGACCCCAGGACUUCAUCGGACCGAGCGCCGGCACAGUAGGACAACAUGCACGUCAUCUCUGGGGGGCUUUUAUUCAUCACCUCCUCCACCUGUGUACUCACUCUGUGUGUGUGUGUGUGUGUCGUCAUCACGGGGGGCACAUUGGGAUUCGCUGCUUUUACACUUCAGUUAGCGUUUAGUUCUUGUGUUGCUGUGGCUGCAUAUUCACGUGUGUGUGUGUGUGUGUGUGUGCGCCCCCAACUCCUGACACCCCUAAUAAUAUCAAUGAGUGGCUGCUUUAUAAAGUGUGACUUUGAGCCCCCCCACCACCCCUCAUCUUGUGUCUCUGCUCGGUGCCCGUGGCUCCACCGUUGUUCUCGUCCCGUUCAGUCUGCUGCAGUUCAUUUUAUUUCUGUUGCAGUCGGAAGAACAAAAGUGCGCUGAGGAGGGCAAAGGAGAACAAAAAAUAAGAAAGAGGAAGAAGAGGAAGAAGAGUAAAAAAAGGAGGAAGAAAAAAAAGAAAAAACCAAACAGCACUGAAGUGGAGAGCCCUGAAGAUGGGGGCACAGAGGGGGUCCUCCACAACAAAAGGAAACCGAGGAGGAAGAGGAGGAGGAGGAACAAAAAACAAAUGUGGAGAGCAGGUGAAUCUGAUCCGAGAGUGCUGCACUUCUUGUACCGAAGGAUUGUCAUGGGCAGCCAGGAGGAGAAGCCCCAAGAGGCAGGAGGUCCUGAUCAGUGAGAAGAUGGCGAGAAGUGGAGAAGUGGAGACUGGGACUUUGUUUUUUACUGUUCUUUGAUGUUCAUUUUAUAAAGCGCUUGUCCCUGUUUGUGUUUUUUCUAAUUAAAGACAGAAG